AAUGAACGCUGGCGGCAGGCCUAACACAUGCAAGUCGAGCGAGCAUUUCGGUGCUAGCGGCGGACGGGUGAGUAACGCGUGGGAACGUGCCCUUUUCUGCGGAAUAGUCCUGGGAAAAUGGGGGUAAUACCGCAUACGCCCUUUUGGGGAAAGAUUUAUCGGAGAAGGAUCGGCCCGCGUUGGAUUAGGUAGUUGGUGGGGUAAUGGCCCACCAAGCCGACGAUCCAUAGCUGGUUUGAGAGGAUGAUCAGCCACACUGGGACUGAGACACGGCCCAGACUCCUACGGGAGGCAGCAGUGGGGAAUCUUAGACAAUGGGGGCAACCCUGAUCGAGCCAUGCCGCGUGAGCGAUGAAGGCCUUAGGGUUGUAAAGCUCUUUCAGCUGGGAAGAUAAUGACGGUACCAGCAGAAGAAGCCCCGGCUAACUCCGUG
Molecule: ribosomal RNA, 433 nt
Filed under: uncultured bacterium
Lineage: Bacteria
Description: partial 16S ribosomal RNA
Rfam family: Bacterial small subunit ribosomal RNA
Source: RNAcentral